UAUUUCUCCGUUAGGUCUCCGGCGACCAGCCCGACCCCUCAGAGACGGGCCCCUCCUCCAGGGCCUCCGGCACGCCCAGGUUCUCGUGGCUCGGCCCCGGGGCCUCCUGCUGCCGGCGGGCCACCCGUUCCCUCUCGCCCGGGAGCCUCUCCGGACCCCUUCGGCGUGCCCCCACCUCAGGUCCCAUCCCGGCCUAACCGUGCACCUCCCAGCGUGCCCAGGUGAGACUCGAUUAUAUCAGACAGUAGAAACUGCUAAUUAAAUAACAUAUUUGUGCUGGAAAACAAUCAUAAUGCACUCAGAUUGAGGCAUAAAUAUGUGUAAUUGGCACCCCCCGGUUCUCGUGGCUCGGCCCCGGGGCCCCCUGCUGCCGGCGGGCCCCCCGUUCCCUCUCGCCCGGGAGCCUCUCCAGACCCCUUCGGCGUGCCCCCACCUCAGGUCCCAUCCCGGCCUAACCGUGCACCUCCCAGCGUGCCCAGUGGUCCCUGAGCUCACGGGCCAGAAGACGACACCAAACCCCCCCAAAGGCCGGUCAAACACAGCGGCCCUUUUCUCCCUUUAGCAUCGCUUUCUUCUUCUGCUCCUCCCCACAUCGAGUAAAGCAACCCAAGCCCACCAGCACAACAGAAGCAACACCAACCCAGAGAUCCAGGACCACAGCCAUCAAACCUUCUAGAAUCUCGCUAAAGGGACCGUUCACCCAAAAAAAUGAAAAUUCACCCUCAUGUCGUUUCCAACCUGUACAAUUCUCCCAAAAUACAUUCUGAAGAACUAAACGCUUUCGGGUCCCAUUGACUCCCAUUGUUUGGACAAACAGUACCGUGAACGUCAGUGGGACCCCAAACCAUCCGCUUCCCAACAUAUCUGUUCCAAAGCCAUUUCCCCCCACACUGCAAACAAUCAUGAUCUCCGUCUCUUUUUCUAGUUACUAGCUACUGUAAAACCUGAAAAAAGCAUUAAAAUAGGGAUUUCCUCGCGGUGCAAACGUUGUGCCGAUGUAAAAGCUCUCAGGUACGAGGACGUGUGUUCACCCUCAGUGCUUGUGCUCAGAAAUCAUUCAUUCAUUAGUGAAUCUGAAGCUUCGGUGGGGCUGGACUGAAUUAGAGAGUGCAAUAUAUUCAUUUAAAACACAGUAGUGCAGUUUUAGGGUGAACAGACGUUCUCGGGUUCGGUGAGACGCUUGUGUGUUUACAAAUGAUUUAAUAAACGAGUACAGACUAAUGCUGAAGACUGGUGAGCGUUCAGGACGAAUGAUCAUGUCGGGAUGGUUGUCCACACACAGGCUGUGUUUAGAAUUGAAUACUUGCUGUACAGUAUACACUGCUUACUGUUUUUAACAAGCAGUGCUAAACAGUAGUAUGCUGCAUUGCUUCAUUUUAGCAAGAAAAUUAGUUUUUGCAUUUUUAAGUCUGAUAAAUUGGCAUUUUUUGCAAAUGUAGUCAGUAAUGUGGGUAUUCAUACAGAUCAUAUGCACACUGCGCAUAGUGUAUAUACUGCAGAAAUAGUUACAGUAGUAUGAUAUUCUGAACAUAGCCACAUAUGUACAUUUUUUGUUUAACUUGCCACAUUGAUUCCACCACAUCAGUCAAGCCACAAACUUUCUUAUUGGAUAAAAAUUUGAUUCUUUUUGCUGGGAUAUUAAAGAAAGUUACUAAAAAUAGUAGCACCAAUGGACAUUUUUCAUGUGUGUGUGGACAAACCGUCCCUGUGCAUUGAAAUUAUGCAAAUGUAUCUCAAGUCUGAUUUUCCUGUCUGUAAUUUAAGGUUCGUUAUGAAAAUCAAGAUGUAGCAACAACGAAACGUUAAAUAUCACUGCUGGGCUAUGCAUAGAAAUAUGAAGGAGAACAUAUGAACACAACACUGUAAUUCUGUCGUUUGUUGUAAUAAUUCUAAAGAUAAUAAAGCCCCUGUUGCUGAUAGUUGGCGUUGUGGCAUGACCACACAGCUUUAACUGUACCGUAUAUCAACAGUAUGUUUCUGUCGGCAACAUGCACACCAAACCUUCCCAGAAUCCACUCGGGAGUCUUAGUAAAACCCACGAACCAGAAAAGAUUUACCGUUAUUUAAGAGUCCGUCAUGGACAUACUGGAUCUUAAGUGUGUGUCAAAUUGUGCUUCCACUGUUUAGAGACUAGUCCACAUGUAUGAUUAUUGAAUAUUAAAUUAUUAUGGGUAAAUAAACCGGGCCUCUUUCUGCGUUUGGACAGAAAGGUGUUACAAUACUGAGUGUGUAACGUGUCUCUGCUUGGACGGGUUUGUCAUCAGUAAAGUUCAGUGUACCAAAAUGUUGUUUUUGUGUCGUUUUUCUUGUCUUCAGAGAACUUCAAAGAUAUUUUUAGCAUUCAAGUCAAGUAUGAAAUGAAAUGCGGAGUGUAGUUUUCUUUCCUGUGCUGAUGUAUUUCUAUGGAAGGUCAUUGCUGCCACAAAAGAAAAAAAAGCAUGUUUUGGUAAACCACAAUUAUGACAAUCAUAAUUAUGAGGUGCAUCAAAAUUAUACUUGCAACAACUUUUUUUGACUCGGUGUGUCAAUUUUGAC
Molecule: long non-coding RNA, 2535 nt
Organism: Sinocyclocheilus grahami
Lineage: Eukaryota; Metazoa; Chordata; Actinopteri; Cypriniformes; Cyprinidae
Source: Ensembl